CCUACGGGGGGCUGCAGUGGGGAAUAUUGGACAAUGGGGGCAACCCUGAUCCAGCCAUGCCGCGUGUGUGAAGAAGGCCCUCGGGUUGUAAAGCACUUUCAGUGAGGAAGAACGCCUGGUGGUUAAUACCCAUCAGGAAAGACAUCACUCACAGAAGAAGCACCGGCUAACUCCGUGCCAGCAGCCGCGGUAAUACGGAGGGUGCGAGCGUUAAUCGGAAUUACUGGGCGUAAAGCGCGCGUAGGUGGCUUGAUAAGCCGGUUGUGAAAGCCCCGGGCUCAACCUGGGAACGGCAUCCGGAACUGUCAAGCUAGAGUGCAGGAGAGGAAGGUAGAAUUCCCGGUGUAGCGGUGAAAUGCGUAGAGAUCGGGAGGAAUACCAGUGGCGAAGGCGGCCUUCUGGACUGACACUGACACUGAGGUGCGAAAGCAUGGGUAGCAAACAGGAUUAGAUACCCGUGUAGUC
This 465-nucleotide ribosomal RNA is filed under the name Vreelandella stevensii. RNAcentral's name for it is "partial 16S ribosomal RNA". It matches the Rfam family "Bacterial small subunit ribosomal RNA", at positions 338 to 795 of the family's 1533-position model. Lineage: Bacteria; Pseudomonadati; Pseudomonadota; Gammaproteobacteria; Oceanospirillales; Halomonadaceae. The record is from RNAcentral.